Molecule: long non-coding RNA, 534 nt
Filed under: Medicago truncatula (barrel medic)
Lineage: Eukaryota; Viridiplantae; Streptophyta; Magnoliopsida; Fabales; Fabaceae
Description: lncRNA gene1055
Source: RNAcentral
UUCAGCAUAUCCUGUAAUAUUUCAGAGACUAUGUCAAUGUUUACAAAUAUAAAGGGAAACAAUGAAAAGGAAAAGAAUACAACAUAUGGUUACCAUGUACAACAUUAGAUACAAGAAUAUCAUUACCAGACAUUCAUGGCACCCUCUCCUUUAACUACACAAACCUCCCACAAGCUCAAUUUCGUUAAAUCAUGAAGGGGUUCGCAACCUGGUGCUGUCCAAAUAUCAUUACCAUGCAGCCUCAUAUCAUGAAUUUUCACUGGUCCUGUAUGCCGCAAAAGCUCAAUGACCGUUUUUUCCUUUUGAUGAAAAGAAUCUACUAAAACCUCGGCCAUGUUUUUCCGGUGUAGGAGUGGAAGAAGCUGAUGAAGAGGCUGACUUUGUGGGCUUGUGAUUUGGAUGGUGUACAGGAGAUAUGGCUUGAAAGUUUGAGUCAUUAUCUGAUGGACUAUAUAAAGUGUUUGUAAAAUGCAAAGGGGACUCUGCACCCUGCCUUUGCAUAAAACCAAAACUAGCUCCGUCCAUCUCCACCUG